CAUGGUAUCAAGACCAAACAAACCUUAAUAUAUAGGGAAUCCAAGGGUACAGUCGAAGGAGACACUGUCUUCCAGCAACUGGGCGAUGUGUUGGCAGAGCCUUGUCAGAUUGAACACUGGUCCUAAACUGGGAUUCAUAGGUGGUCAGAGCAGACUUCGUGUAAAAGCGUGGCUGGUGGAUAAUAGAGCUGGUGGCCCUCUAGAGCCACGAGGAAGAGAACAGGUUUGGGAAAUUUCGCACAGCCAAGAGUUUGGUAGGAAUUGUUAGGAAGUCAGGCAGCAAUUCCUCCAGAUUAAUAAGAAGCGAGCCUUAGCUACUCUAAGCAGUGUUAACAGCUGUUUGUGGGGCCUAGAGAGAUUGCUUAGCAAUGAAGAGUGCUUGCUGAAUUUGCAAAGCAUCUGAAUUUGGUUCCUCACUCCAGCAUCCAGUAGCUAACAACUAGCUCCAGCUCCGGCUCCAGCGGCUGCCUCUGAGGGCGUAUAUGUAUAUGUAUAUGUAUAUGUAUAUGUAUAUGUAUAUGUAUAUAUACAUACAUAUAUAUGUAUAUAUACACACACAUACAUACACACACAUAUAUAUGUAUAUAUAUACAUAUAUAUACACAUAUAUAUACAUAUAUAUAUAUAUACAUAUAUAUAUACAUAUAUAUAUACAUAUAUAUAUAUGGUCUAUGUUUUCAGAAAGUAUAGAGACAAAGGUUCUUGGGGGAAAGUGCUCUUGUGUGUGUGUGUGCGAGAUGUGUCUGUGUAACAGGGUUCUGUGUUGCUCAAACUGACAUUGUACUUGCAUUAUUGAGUGCCUGGUGUGGUGGUUUGAAUAGGAAUGCCCCCCCCCCCCGACUUGUGGAUUUUAAAACCUGGUCACCAGGGCAUGCCACCAUUUGAAAGGAUUAGGAGAUGUUGGAGGAAGUGUGUCAAUGGAGGUAGGUUCUGAGGGCUCAAGGACCCAAGUUAGGCCCAGCAUCUUUUUCUUCCUACUGCCUGUGGAUCUGGCUGUAGAACUCUGAGGGUCUUCUCUAGCACCACGGCUGCUUAUAUGUCACCACGCUACCUCCUAUGACCACAAUGGACUACACCUCUGAAACUGUUGCCUUGUGGGACUGAGCAACUGCUAGAUCCUUGGACUUCCAUUCACAGCUGCUGCUGACCAUUGUUGGGAGUUGGACUACAGACUGGAUGCUACACACUGAGUGAAUCACUUUGCUGGUUUCAGGAGAGAUCCCAGCCAAGAGGAGUGAAUACCACUCACAGGGGCAAAGGCAAGUGACCUGCUUGGAGAAACAGUCCACCUGCCCCGAGGAGAGCCGAACACCUUCACACCUUUUUCCUCUUCAUCCAAAGACUAAAAACUAGAUCCAGUCCCUCCCAAAGGCAAAGGAAGAUGGAAGACUAUCAAGUGGAUGAAGUUUCCCAGCCUGCAAACUCAUCAUAGCCUUGGCCUAGCAUCUUACCCAUCCUCCCUCCUCCAUCAUCUGAUGUAGGACUUGCUAUAAAUUGAUGCCUCCUACCUGUCAAUGCAAGAGAAGAUAGCACCCAGUGAAGCACCUUUCUGUUUUAGUUUGACAAUAAAUCUAUUCUGUCUCC
Molecule: long non-coding RNA, 1584 nt
Filed under: Mus musculus (house mouse)
Lineage: Eukaryota; Metazoa; Chordata; Mammalia; Rodentia; Muridae
Description: RIKEN cDNA 4933408N05 gene
Source: RNAcentral